CCCACUGAACUAAAGCGUAUAAAAGAGCGGAGAAAAGAAAUUUACCAGCAUUUCCACGGUAACUGCUCGUGAAGAGGAGAGAGCUGUGGUCCGAAAUCUACGUCAGAUUUACUGAUAGGCCAUGAGGUGUGUGGGUCGACUUGAGGGACCAUUGUUCCUCCCGACUACCGGCGUUAAGUAUGGAAAACACUAGAUUUGCCUCAUAGAGAGCAAGAGGCCCAUACGGGUGGAGAUUCGAACAUUUGCGAUGGUUUAAAAGUCCGACCUCAGAGUCGGGAUGUUUGAGACUGCAGUUCAAAGAUGUUGGCAAACACCAUCCACGGCUAAAUAUUGCCAAAAGUGCGAAAGCAAACCAGCCCCUUUACUUUGGAAAUUUCAGAGGGUGUCAGAAAAAUUAAAUUUUAAACCAAUACGCCAAAAUUUUGCAUGAAAAAAUUUUGCAGGCAGGUGAUGGAUAAAACGAAUAAUUUCUGACUAAUUUCUUUAAAGAGUGUCACACCAACUGUUCACAUGUUUAAUAAAUAAAUAAUUAUUUGUCACUUUUGAAUGUGUUCAAAAACCUUAUUUAAUUUUUAAUAUACGAUGUUUAAAAGAAUAAUGUGCAAUUCUAUACUCAAGUUCAGCUUUUCAGUAGAGGAUGUAUUAUUAAAAAUACUUUAUCACGCCGUGAAAG
RNAcentral lists this non-coding RNA (673 nucleotides) under Hymenolepis diminuta. RNAcentral's name for it is "Eukaryotic large subunit ribosomal RNA". It matches the Rfam family "Eukaryotic large subunit ribosomal RNA", at positions 24 to 660 of the family's 3401-position model. The record is from Rfam by way of RNAcentral. Lineage: Eukaryota; Metazoa; Platyhelminthes; Cestoda; Cyclophyllidea; Hymenolepididae.